Molecule: long non-coding RNA, 3771 nt
Organism: Sorghum bicolor (sorghum)
Lineage: Eukaryota; Viridiplantae; Streptophyta; Magnoliopsida; Poales; Poaceae
Exons: 2
Source: RefSeq, a predicted model, not a curated record
UACAAUUAUUGAUGAUUACUCUAGAAGGGUUUAGCCUUAUUUUUUGAAACAUAAAGAUGAUACUUUUGAUACUUUUAAGAACUGGAAAGUAAUGAUAGAAAGGCAAACUGAAAGGAAGGUAAAAUUGCUUCGUACUGAUAAUGGUGGAGAAUUUUGUUCGCAUGCCUUUAAUGAUUAUUGCAGACAGGAAGGUAUUGUUCGGCAUCACACCAUACCCCAUACUCCACAACAGAAUUGCGUGGCUGAACGUAUGAACAGAACCAUCAUAUCCAAGGCCCGUUGCAUGCUGUCUAAUGCCACGAUGAGCAAGCAGUUUUGGGCUGAAGCUGCAAAUACUGCCUGUUACUUGAUAAACAGGUCGCCUUCUAUUCCACUUAAUAAGAAAACUCCUAUUGAGGUAUGGUCUAGUACACCUGCAGAUUAUUCACAGUUGAAAGUUUUUGGAUGCACUGCUUAUGCUCAUGUUGAUAAUAGAAAAUUAGAGCCUAGAGCUGUUAAGUGUCUUUUUCUUGGUUAUAGCUCGGGAGUCAAGGGUUAUAAACUGUGGAAUCCUGAUACAGGAAAGACUUUUAUGAGCAGAAGUGUUGUUUUCAACAAAUCUGUGAUGUUUACUGACAGUUUGCCCUCAGAUCAUGUUCCAGAAACAGAGCUGCAGUGUAUGCGCAUGCAGGUGGAGCAUGUUGAUGAUGAUAUACACAUGCAGGUGGAGCAUGUUGAUGAUGAUACAGGUGUGCAGGUGGAGCCUAUUGAUGAGCAUGAUGACCAUGGUAAUGAUGUUGCUGAUGAUGAUGCUCAUGAUGAUGUUCAGCAAACUCCUCCUAUUUUGCAGCAAGAGGAGGAUUUACCUAUUGCUCAACGCAAGUAAAAAAGGACAGUUGUACCUCCCAAACAUCUCAUUGAAGAAUGUAAUUUGUCUUACUAUGCUUUGAGUUGUGAUGAACAGGUGGAGAAUGUUCAUGAGCCAGCAACCUACAAAGAGGCUGUUCGUUGUGGUGAUAGUGAGAAUUGGAUUUUUGCUAUGCAUGAGGAGAUGCAGUCUCUUGAGAAGAACAGUACAUGGGAGGUAGUACCUUUGCCUAAGAAAAAGAAGACCAUCAACUGCAAAUGGAUCUUCAAGAGAAAGGAGGGUUUAUCUCCAAGUGAGCCUCCAAAGUACAAGGCAAGGUUAGUAGCCAAAGGAUAUAGUCAAAUUCCGGGUGUUGACUAUAAUGAUGUAUUCUCUCUAGUGGUAAAACAUAGUUCAAUUCAUACUUUCCUAAGUAUUGUUGCUUCACAUGAUCUUGAGCUUGAGCAGUUAGAUGUGAAGACUGCGUUUUUGCAUGGAGAGCUUGAGGAGGACAUAUACAUGGACCAACCGGAAGGGUUCAUAGUGCCUGGCAAGGAGAAAUAUGUAUGCAAGUUGAAGCGAUCCUUGUAUGGUUUGAAACAGUCCCCUCGUCAGUGGAACAAGAGAUUUAUCAUAUGCUAUGAGUCUUGUUAGCAGAUAUAUGUCUAAUCCUGGUAAAGAACAUUGGAGGGCAGUUCAGUGGAUUUUCAGGUACCUCAGAGGCACAGCAGAUUCCAGUAUGAAGUUUGGAAGAACUGAUAAGGGUUUCAUUGGUUAUGUGGAUUCAGAUUAUGCUGCUGAUCUGGACAGGCGAAGAUCACUUACAGGUUAUGUGUUUACUGUUGGCAGUUGUGCUGUGAGUUGGAGGCCUACUUUACAGUCUGUUGUUGCUUUGUCUACUACUGAAGCAGAAUAUAUGGCUAUUUGUGAAGCGUGCAAAGAAUUAAUUUGGCUAAAAGGUUUGUACGCUGAACUGUGUGGAGUUGAAUCUUGCAUAAGUUUGAAUUGUGAUAGUCAAAGUGCAAUUUACCUCACUAAAGAUUAGAUGUUCCAUGAGAGAACUAAGCACAUAGAUAUCAACUAUCAUUUUGUGCAUGAUGUGAUUGAAGAAGGUAAGCUGAAGGUAUGCAAGAUCAGUACUCAUGACAAUCCUGCUGAUAUGAUGACUAAACCUGUCCCUGUUGCUAAGUUUGAGCUAUGCUCAAGCUUAGUUGGUUUAGUGGAUUAGCCUAAGAGGCUAUUUGGCGCCAGGAAUAUUUUUCUCUAUUAUGUUCAAGAUGAAGGUGUUGAUUUAUGAUACAAGAUGAAUUUGUCUCAAGGUGGAGUUUGUUGAAGUGUUCCAAAUUCAACGUGAUGCUUUCUCUAUGAAUAGCAUAUGUGCGUGAAGGAAUUGCAUGCACAUUGUAUGGCUAUGGUUGGCAAAAGAAAUGUGGUUGCAUGACAUUCGCAAGGUCAUGGUCUUCAAGAGAGAUGCGUGAUCUUCGUCACACUCCUUGCGCACAGCCAUGGAGUAAUAUUGUUGGAUGGCAUGCAUAGGCUAUGAAUAGUCAUUUGCUCAGAAUAGAGUUCCACCAAGAUGACAAUAUAUUUCAUUCUCUUGUAAGCCACCGUAUGGUGUUGUAAUUUGUAACCCGACACUUGAAAAUAGUGAGAAGAGUUGCUGGCUGGCGCCCGUGGUUUUUCCCCUUCGCAUUGGAGGGGUUUUCCACGUAAAUCGUGUGUCUCCACUGCGAUUGAUUUCGUUUACUUCAUAUUUCUAUACGCCGAUUCUAACAUAGUCUAUUUGCUAGGAUUUUUGUGAGGAAUUUCAUACUUGAGUUGAGUAGGGAUAUUGGUCUGAAAUCACUGACUUUAUCUAGAUUUGACUUUUUUGGCACUAAGGUAAUAUAGUAGUAGUUGAUACUCUUUAGGUCAGCUAUAUGCUCAUAAAAACCUGUACACAAUCUGUAGAUAUCAGGCCUUAUCAGAUUCCAACAUUUCUUGAAAAGAUAUCCAUUAAAUCCAUCAGGGCCAGGUGCCUUAUCUACUGGGAGGUCCUUUAGAACUACAUUUAUUUCUUGUUCAGUGAAAGGAGUAACCAGUUCCUCUAGAUUAUAUUGCUGCAUGAUCUGAUUCAAAGCAAGUCAUGUUUGGGAUUACUCACACACCCAUUCUAUUUUUGAAUUCCUGCCAAAAGAGUGCUGCCUUUUCAUAUGAUCUGUCACAAUUCUACCAUCAUCUGCAGAGAUUUGAGAGAUGACAUUAAAUCUGAAUCUUUCGGUUGCCCUGGCGUGAAUUUUUUUUUGUGUUUUCAUCCCCUAGCUUAACAAGAUUUUUUGUAUAUCUCUGCUUCCAAUAAAUUUGCUGGUAAUGAAGUAAUUUCCUUAGUUGUCCCUGAAUAAUAGUUCUGAAGUUUCUUUCAGCAAUACAUAGGUGUCUGAGGUCUUCCACACCAUCCAUGAAUUCUAUGACCAAAUUGCAGUGUUUUAUCAGAAUGGCUAGGCCUGACCUGUUGUUUUUCCAAGUCUUUAGGGAAGCUCUCAAAGCUUUAAACUUAGUAGAUACAUUUCUGGCUGCAUUCGUAUGUGAACAUGAUGCCCAAGCAAUAGUAGCUAUCUCUAUAAAAGAUGGUAUAUUUGUCCAAUAGUUUUCAUGUUAUCGUCGGUCAGCAGUACCACCGAAGCAACCGGACGAGUGGCUAGCAACGCCACAUCGGGAUCAGGUCGACAUGCGCGCCAUUCCUUUUCAGGAUCAACUAUUUUGAGUCAGUGGAAUAAUGAGUGGAGUUUAUAUCUCUAAGACCAGCUGCAUGUUCUAGAGUAAUUUGUGGAGUCUAUAUUCCUAAGAUUAGCUGCAUGUUCGUAGAGUAAUUUGUGGAGUCUGUAUUCCUAAAAUUAGCUGCAUACUUGUAAUUUGCCUGUAAGCCAGAACGUUUGCGUAUUGAGAAGGCAGCCUGGGUUUGUGUC